RNAcentral lists this long non-coding RNA (1242 nucleotides) under Anas platyrhynchos platyrhynchos (common mallard). RNAcentral describes it as "lncRNA (ENSAPLG00000025994.1)". Lineage: Eukaryota; Metazoa; Chordata; Aves; Anseriformes; Anatidae. The record is from RNAcentral.
CAUUGGUGCUAUAGUACUAUGAUUGCUGGUUUAAUAAUUGCCUUGGCAUUCUUGAGGAUCAAAAUGCUACGGAAAUACAAGUUAUAAUGUAGUUAUAUAAAAUUAGAGCGGCAGUAAAAAUGAGAGUGGGCUAGCGGCAGGAGAGGAUACAUGAGAAAACAAUUCCUAAGCUGAAAUGUGGAUUAAAGGUUCAUUUAGGCAGGUUGCUAUGUAACUCUGGACUGACCACAAGCAUGUUAAGGCAGCAUUCAGCUUCUCUGUAAAACAUUUGCUGGUCCACAGGAAGAGUUUGUUGCAUUAAGUAAUUUAUGGGGUGCUAAGAAGUUCCUUAAGCUAUUAUUAAAAACAUACAAAAUCUUCCCUGGUUAGGAUUCUAGUAACUCAGACUUCUAACUAAGCAGAACUGAUAGGGCAGGCCUUUUGAUGUUUAAUGAGUUCUGAAGCAGAUGUGAGAUGUGAUAGACAGGGGAGCCGGGGUGAUUUAGUGCUCAUGAAACAAAAUGAUGAGAUCCCCUCCUGAAAAAGAAAAUGUAGCUAAAAAGGACAGAUUUUUUUUUCCUUCUCUCUCUUUUUUUUUUUUUUUUCUUCCUUCUCAGUGCAUGUGUUUUUGAUUUCCUCACCCCGUGCCUCUCAGUGCUGGCUCGUUUCCAUUCAAACACACACAGAACACUGAAAACUAAUUAGCCCUGGAUGCAGCCACAGGAAGUUAGCCUGCCAAGUCCCCUUUCCCCCACAAUUCCUCAACUUUCUCAGCUUGCCUCAGGCCAACGGCCUUGCACUGGGCCUCUCUGUGGAACCAAAGAGAACUUCACCAUCCUGUAAAACUUGAAAGUCCCUCCUCUCCAAGACUUUUCUUGAAGGUUAACAAAUUUUCCCGAGAGCCAGAGAACUACAGGUGUCAACCAUUUUCAAGCAUCUCAUUUCAAAGCAGAGCCCACCACAAUCCCAAUGUGAGAAGCCAGAAUCUGAUUAGAAGAAAGCAGUGGGCUGGAUGCCAAUCUACAGUGGGCAGAGCCAUGACACAUGCAACUUAACUAGAAAAUACCAGCGUGGCUGCAAAGUUCUGGAGGUCUAGAAACAUUCAGGCCAGUGUCCAGAUCCCACCUGACUGUGAAAAGUCUUCAGAGGAAGACUUGAGGACCCUGUAGUACAAUGCAUGACAAAAGAGAAGAGUCUAAUUUGACCUUUUUCUGUCCUAUUUGGAUUUCCAGGAGUUAGAAAGUGUCUUAAUCCCUCAAGUAC